AACAAUAGGUUGAAGAAAACUUCUCACAUGCCGAUCUCUCUCACUCUUCAGUCUUUCUCAUCCGAUCAAUCGUCUCUCUCGCUCGAUGGUCUCUCUCACUUGAUCUAUCGUCCCUCUCGUUGAUUUCUCUGUAAUUUUGUCGUUCAACGAAUACAUUCUCAGGAUGUGUGGAUAAGUUAGAGCAAAUAAAUUGAGGAACGUCAGCGCUGGCUGCUAGAAAUUCCUGUUGUACACUUUGAUCCCAAUUUGGAUUUAUUAUUUGAGUCUUGUGAAGAUGUUGGAAAGUUACAUGACUAUAAACAAGGAAUGGUGCACUUUUGGUCCCUUGCAGUUCUCAUUUUCUCUCUCAAUCGAUAUCUCAUGGUAACGGAUUUCUCUACUCAAAAGUUGCCCACGAGUUAUCUCUUGAAUCUAGGUCAACCACUCCCACGGGUAACAACUCCUGGAAGUAAAACUAGAGAUAGAAAAGUCCAACUAAUACAUAAAGUGGGUUUAAUUUGUCUAUGGAUGCAAGAUGAUUAACCAGAAGUAGAACUAGAGAUAAAAAAAGCCAAAUAAUGCAUAAAGUGGGUUUAAUUUGUUUAUGGAUGCAAGAUGAUUAACCAGUUGAAGCAACAAUUGAUUUUUUUAAGGUUUUUCCUUAGUAUAAUAUUUUUAUUUAGCUAUUUUGAAA
Vicia villosa (hairy vetch) is the source of this 673-nucleotide long non-coding RNA. RefSeq lists it as uncharacterized. NCBI's taxonomy places the organism in Eukaryota, Viridiplantae, Streptophyta, Magnoliopsida, Fabales, Fabaceae. The record is from RefSeq and is a predicted model, not a curated record. The transcript is spliced from 4 exons.